CCUACGGGGGGCUGCAGUGGGGAAUAUUGGACAAUGGGGGGAACCCUGAUCCAGCCAUGCCGCGUGUGUGAAGAAGGCCCUCGGGUGUAAAGCACUUUCAGUGAGGAAGAACGCCUGGUGGUUAAUACCCAUCAGGAAAGACAUCACUCACAGAAGAAGCACCGGCUAACUCCGUGCCAGCAGCCGCGGUAAUACGGAGGGUGCGAGCGUUAAUCGGAAUUACUGGGCGUAAAGCGCGCGUAGGUGGCUUGAUAAGCCGGUUGUGAAAGCCCCGGGCUCAACCUGGGAACGGCAUCCGGAACUGUCAAGCUAGAGUGCAGGAGAGGAAGGUAGAAUUCCCGGUGUAGCGGUGAAAUGCGUAGAGAUCGGGAGGAAUACCAGUGGCGAAGGCGGCCUUCUGGACUGACACUGACACUGAGGUGCGAAAGCGUGGGUAGCAAACAGGAUUAGAUACCCCAGUAGC
This 463-nucleotide ribosomal RNA is filed under the name Vreelandella stevensii. RNAcentral describes it as "partial 16S ribosomal RNA". It matches the Rfam family "Bacterial small subunit ribosomal RNA", at positions 338 to 794 of the family's 1533-position model. The record is from RNAcentral. Lineage: Bacteria; Pseudomonadati; Pseudomonadota; Gammaproteobacteria; Oceanospirillales; Halomonadaceae.